GCCCUCUCUGAUGGGGAAAUCACCUCACAUAUUCUCGCUGGUCUUGACCUAGAUUACAAUCCUGUAGUCUCUGCUCUUGCCGCUUGGGUAGA
This 92-nucleotide small nucleolar RNA is filed under the name Triticum aestivum (bread wheat). Its description in RNAcentral is "Small nucleolar RNA Z247". It matches the Rfam family "Small nucleolar RNA Z247". From Rfam's summary of the family: Z247 is a member of the C/D class of snoRNA which contain the C (UGAUGA) and D (CUGA) box motifs. Lineage: Eukaryota; Viridiplantae; Streptophyta; Magnoliopsida; Poales; Poaceae. The record is from Rfam by way of RNAcentral.